GAUAUCCAGGAGAGUGACAGUGGACUGGCCGUUAGUGGGAGGGCACGGGGCCAGGUCGGGGGACCAGGGUGUCCCACGGCGCUGGCUGCAGGGGGUCAGGCCCGUGAGCAGGUGGCCUUCACGUGUCAGCUGUAUCCGCUGUCUGCGCUGAGGCCCCGGGCCAGGCGGCAUGGUGAGCGACUUCCACCUCCUCCUAGGACACAGCCUGUUGACCAGCUCAGCGCAGGGAGUCUGGGGUUGCUGGAGGCUUGCAGGAAGCCGCGGCCCUCUGACCCAAACUGGCGAGGCAGUCGCGGGGGGCUGGGAGAAGCCCCGCCCAGGCAGCGUAGCCCACGUGGCGCCUGCCCUGAGCCCUGCCCACCCAGCACUGCUCCUGCUUCUGGGGAGGGCGGCCAGAGGCAGCUCCAGAGCCACACUCCCAGGGGCCCCGCUUCCCUGCAGGGAGCUGUGGGGAACAGGCCUGGCCUGGCAGGGCCCCCAUGGAGGGGAGUGGGCACAUCCAGACCCGAAGUGUGUCCCGCAGGCCCGCCCCAACACCUGGCCCCCCUGGUGCAGACCUGGACACCCAACCACCCCCUCCUGCUCCUGGGCCAUCCCCCCAACCCUGCGUUCCCUCCCCUGACCCCCUUCAGUGUUCCAGGAACUUGGGCUGGAGUGGAAGGGGCUCCCUCGUGGACCCCUCAUCACCUCCCCCCGCCAAGCGCUCACAGUGCAGCACACCUGUUGCAAAGUCCAAAUGGUGCAGCGAAGCGUCUGCACCCGCUGCUCGGGUCUGAGGGGUGGAAGCUGAGGCCCGUACACGUCACGCUGUCCCCACAAGGUGGCGCCACCACCCCCAAAGGAACCUGGGCCCAAGGAAGUUGUGUUGGGCUGGGGGCGCCGGCUGUCCCCACAGCAGGCCGUCCGGCAGGGCAGCAACGCCCUGCCCAGCUCCAUAGGCACAGCCUAGAAGGCUGGGGGUCCCCGCCUUCAGAGUCAAGGCCCUCUGGUCACUGCCCAGCAGCAGGCAAGGGGCUGUCACCAUUGACUGGGGGUCCCCAUGGGGCUGCUGACCUAACCCCACCUUCAUCAGGCCCCAGGAAGGAGACAGACAAGAAGGAAAAGAAAGGGCUUUAA
RNAcentral lists this long non-coding RNA (1116 nucleotides) under Cervus hanglu yarkandensis (Yarkand deer). RNAcentral describes it as "lncRNA (ENSCHYG00000004329.1)". The record is from RNAcentral. Lineage: Eukaryota; Metazoa; Chordata; Mammalia; Artiodactyla; Cervidae.